AGUGAACGCUGGCGGCAUGGCUAAGACAUGCAAGUCGAACGGGAUCUACUGAAGGGUAACCGGAUGUAGUGAGAGUGGCGAACGGGUGCGUAACACGUGAACAAUCUACCUUAAAGUUGGGGAUAGCUCGAGGAAACUCGAAUUAAUACCGAAUGUGGUUCCUUCUCGCAUGGGAAGGAUACUAAAGCUUGUAACGGCGCUUUAAGAGGGGUUCGCGGCCUAUCAGCUUGUUGGUGAGGUAACGGCUCACCAAGGCCAAGACGGGUAGCUGGUCUGAGAGGAUGAUCAGCCACACUGGAACUGAGACACGGACCAGACUCCUACGGGAGGCAGCAGUAAGGAAUAUUGGUCAAUGGAGGGAACUCUGAACCAGCCAUGCCGCGUGCAGGAAGACAGCCCUCUGGGUCGUAAACUGCUUUUAUUCGGGAAUAAACCUUUCUACGUGUAGGAAGCUGAAUGUACCGAAGGAAUAAGGAUCGGCUAACUCCGUGCCAGCAGCCGCGGU
RNAcentral lists this ribosomal RNA (505 nucleotides) under uncultured bacterium. Its description in RNAcentral is "bacterial SSU rRNA". It matches the Rfam family "Bacterial small subunit ribosomal RNA", at positions 29 to 521 of the family's 1533-position model. The record is from RNAcentral.